GUCCUUGUAGCUUAAAUAAAGCAUAGCACUGAAGACGCUAAGAUGGUCGACACAUGCACCCCCGAGGACA
RNAcentral lists this transfer RNA (70 nucleotides) under Leucocarbo chalconotus (Otago shag). RNAcentral describes it as "tRNA-Phe". It matches the Rfam family "tRNA". Rfam says of the family: Transfer RNA (tRNA) molecules are approximately 80 nucleotides in length. Their secondary structure includes four short double-helical elements and three loops (D, anti-codon, and T loops). The record is from RNAcentral. Lineage: Eukaryota; Metazoa; Chordata; Aves; Suliformes; Phalacrocoracidae.